AUUGAACGCUGGCGGCAUGCCUUACACAUGCAAGUCGAACGGCAGCACGGGGCAACCUGGUGGCGAGUGGCGAACGGGUGAGUAAUGCAUCGGAACGUACCUUUCAGUGGGGGAUAACGUAGCGAAAGUUACGCUAAUACCGCAUAUUCUGUGAGCAGGAAAGCAGGGGAUCGCAAGACCUUGCGCUGAUUGCGCGGCGGAGGUCAGAUUAGCUAGUUGGUGAGGUAAAGGCUCACCAAGGCGACGAUCUGUAGCGGGUCUGAGAGGAUGUUCCGCCACACAGGACCUGAGGCACGGUCCAGACUCCUACGGGAGGCGGCAGUGGGGAAGUUUGGACAAUGGGGGCGACCCUGAUCCAGCCAUGCCGCGUGAGUGAAGAAGGCCUUCGGGUUGUAAAGCUCUUUCGGCCGGGAAGAAAUCGCACGGGCUAAUACCCUGUGUGGAUGACGGUACCGGAAUAAGAAGCACCGGCUAACUACGUGCCAGCCGCCGCCGUAA
RNAcentral lists this ribosomal RNA (498 nucleotides) under uncultured bacterium. RNAcentral describes it as "partial 16S ribosomal RNA". It matches the Rfam family "Bacterial small subunit ribosomal RNA", at positions 29 to 523 of the family's 1533-position model. The record is from RNAcentral.